UUGGUAGUCAUUAGAGUGAGGUUGUGUUUCGGCCACAAUGUGGGGCUUUGGCCCACCAAG
This 60-nucleotide transfer RNA is filed under the name Metorchis orientalis. Its description in RNAcentral is "tRNA-Arg". Lineage: Eukaryota; Metazoa; Platyhelminthes; Trematoda; Opisthorchiida; Opisthorchiidae. The record is from RNAcentral.